RNAcentral lists this long non-coding RNA (191 nucleotides) under Apteryx rowi (Okarito brown kiwi). RNAcentral's name for it is "lncRNA (ENSARWG00000009121.1)". The record is from RNAcentral. Lineage: Eukaryota; Metazoa; Chordata; Aves; Apterygiformes; Apterygidae.
GGUUUGGCAGGUUAUGAUGGUAAAUGAGGUAACCGAAGGAGGAUCAGAGAGGAUGCAGCUGCCAUUGAGGAUGCCUCUUGAGGAUGGAUGGUGACCCAGAGCACUGCAGAAGCUAAAUGUGGCGCAGCAGUUGGAGUGCCUGAGGGAGAUGGAGGAAGAAAGGGUCAUGCCCUAGGAAGGUGUGGAGCAAC